GAUUAAAAAUCAGACCACCUGUCUCUUGAGCCUGUGUUCUCAGCCAUGUCUGUAUGUAAUGAUGUUUUACUAAUUUGGACAAAUGACAGUCCCCACCCUACCAUUAUACAGCAGGGGUGGAGUUCAUGAGUUCAAUUAGUUUGUUGAUGGCAAGUAAAGAUGCUACAUUAUCUGGUUGUAUCUAGAUGUUUUAUCUCCCAGACCACUGAGCAGCCACAGUUCCCAAAGGAGUAGCAAUUGGUCUGGGAGAGAGGGUUAAGAAGAGAGAGGAAAAAUUAAUUUCUCUUUCUCCUACAUUGUUUCUCUGAGUCCCAGGACAUGAUUGGUUAAGUGCCAACAGGAGUCAUGAUGACUCACAAUGCAGCUGAGAACCCUGUUACCAUUUGCAAUGACAAGAACUAAACACUAGCCACUACCACCAGGGUUACUCCUGGUUCAGGGCUGAAUACAGUGAGUAAGUGGGAGGUGCUGGCAGAGGGGGUAGAUAUUACUUUGUAAUAUCUGUUCCCUAGACACUCAGUUAUCUUGGCCUCAGAGCUAUUCCCUGGCUCAUGCAAAAUCUGUUAACAGGCCAAGAACACUGUUAAAAUAUUUUGGUAACUUCUGUGGGAGGAGUUACCAAAAUCUGUUAACAGUAUUCAUUGCAUUUCCACAGGUCCACUGGGCAAUGAUCAGCAAUUCUGACUUCAAGAUCCAAUCACCCAGUGAAAGCUACAAGAGAACUCAGUACAAGAUAAAUGGGAAUGACAGUUGCACCCACCUCAAGGUGUUAUGAGGCUAGAUGAGUUUCUGCAUGUCAAGCCCUCAGAGAAGUGCCUGGCAAGCAGACAGUGCUCAGCUGAGGAGGGCUUUCUUGGUUGUGCUGUCUUUCUGAGGCAACGUGGAGUCUACCAGUCACGGACAAAGGACUCUCUGAAGUCAGUCCCAGCACAC
This 933-nucleotide long non-coding RNA is filed under the name Homo sapiens (human). RNAcentral's name for it is "HSALNT0408837". Lineage: Eukaryota; Metazoa; Chordata; Mammalia; Primates; Hominidae. The record is from RNAcentral.